AUUGAACGCUGGCGGAAUGCUUUACACAUGCAAGUCGAACGGCAGCAUAGGUGCUUGCACCUGAUGGCGAGUGGCGAACGGGUGAGUAAUACAUCGGAACGUGCCCAGUCGUGGGGGAUAACGUAGCGAAAGUUACGCUAAUACCGCAUACGAUCUAAGGAUGAAAGCGGGGGACCGUAAGGCCUCGCGCGAUUGGAGCGGCCGAAGUCAGAUUAGGUAGUUGGUGAGGUAAAGGCUCACCAAGCCGACGAUCUGUAGCGGGUCUGAGAGGACGACCAGCCACACUGGGACUGAGACACGGCCCAGACUCCUACGGGAGGCAGCAGUGGGGAAUUUUGGACAAUGGACGCAAGUCUGAUCCAGCCAUUCCGCGUGCAGGGCGAAGGCCUUCGGGUUGUAAACUGCUUUUGUACGGAACGAAAAAGCUCUUACUAAUACUAGGAGUCCAUGACGGUACCGUAAGAAUAAGCACCGGCUAACUACGUGCCAGCAGCCGCCGCGG
RNAcentral lists this ribosomal RNA (502 nucleotides) under uncultured bacterium. RNAcentral describes it as "partial 16S ribosomal RNA". It matches the Rfam family "Bacterial small subunit ribosomal RNA", at positions 30 to 523 of the family's 1533-position model. The record is from RNAcentral.